This 237-nucleotide long non-coding RNA is filed under the name Elaeis guineensis (African oil palm). Its description in RNAcentral is "long non-coding RNA (EGUI_LNC023545)". The record is from RNAcentral. Lineage: Eukaryota; Viridiplantae; Streptophyta; Magnoliopsida; Arecales; Arecaceae.
GACAACUCGACAGGACCUCAGCGUCAGGAACAUAUUUGUAGCAAAAAGUGAAGUUUUGGAUGUAAGUGGCCACAUAUAUAUAAGGCCCUUCGAUGGUCGAGAUAAAAGCACACCGAGCGAGGACUUCUUGGAUGUCGACACGUGGCAGCAUCAGGAUCCUUUCUCGAUCCGACGGUUCGACGCACCUGCCCUCUGAUCAAGCCACGUCGCCUUCAUCCACGUGAACGGUUCCGGCCC